Molecule: unclassified non-coding RNA, 229 nt
Filed under: fungal sp.
Lineage: Eukaryota; Fungi
Description: partial internal transcribed spacer region
Rfam family: Eukaryotic small subunit ribosomal RNA (bases 1-46)
Source: RNAcentral
AAGUCGUAACAAGGUUUCCGUAGGUGAACCUGCGGAAGGAUCAUUAUUGAAUGUAUUCCAUUCCAUGUCAGUGAAACGUAGUUGUUGUGGUGACAAUCUCUGGUCGUCCAUUUCGGUGGGCGCCUGGGUCGUCACCGCCAGUUAUCCAUGUUGAUUAACUCUGAGUCUGAACUUUAUAUAACAAUAUAAAGACAACUUUUAGCAACGGAUCUCUUGGCUCUCGCAACGA